AUUGAACGCUGGCGGCAGGCCUAACACAUGCAAGUCGAGCGGAUGAAGGGAGCUUGCUCCUGGAUUCAGCGGCGGACGGGUGAGUAAUGCCUAGGAAUCUGCCUUGUAGUGGGGGAUAACGUCCGGAAACGGGCGCUAAUACCGCAUACGUCCUGAGGGAGAACGUGGGGGAUCUUCGGACCUCAAGCUAUCAGAUGAGCCUAGGUCGGAUUAGCUAGUUGGUGGGGUAACGGCUUACAAAGGCGACGAUCCGGAACUGGUCUGAGAGGGUGAUCAGCCACACUGGAACUGAGACACGGUCCAGACUCCUACGGGAGGCAGCAGUGGGGAAUAUUGCGCAAUGGGCGAAAGCCUGACCGAGCAACGCCGCGUGAGUGAGGAAGGUCUUCGGAUCGUAAAACUCUGUUAUUAGGGAAGAAGAGAAGUGUAAUAAACCGUGCAUGUUUUGACGGUACCUAAUAAGAAAGCCCCGGCUAACUUCGUG
RNAcentral lists this ribosomal RNA (484 nucleotides) under uncultured bacterium. Its description in RNAcentral is "partial 16S ribosomal RNA". It matches the Rfam family "Bacterial small subunit ribosomal RNA", at positions 30 to 507 of the family's 1533-position model. The record is from RNAcentral.